Molecule: ribosomal RNA, 175 nt
Filed under: uncultured bacterium
Lineage: Bacteria
Description: partial 16S ribosomal RNA
Rfam family: Bacterial small subunit ribosomal RNA
Source: RNAcentral
CCUACGGGAGGCAGCAGUGAGGAAUAUUGCGCAAUGGGGGAAACCCUGACGCAGCGACGCCGCGUGGAGGAUGAAGGCUUUAGGGUCGUAAACUCCUGUUAAGUGGGAAGAAAGAUCUCUUCGUAAUAUGUUGAGAUUAUGACGGUACCACUAGAGAAAGCACCGGCUAACUUCG